AGUGAACGCUGGCGGUAGGCCUAACACAUGCAAGUCGAACGGCAGCACAGUAAGAGCUUGCUCUUACGGGCGGCGCGUGGCGGACGGGUGAGGAAUACAUCGGAAUCUACUUUUUCGUGGGGGAUAAUGCAGGGAAACUUACGCGAAUACCGCAUACGACCUACGGGUGAAAGCAGGGGUUCUUCGGACCUUGUGCGAUUGAAUGAGCCGAUGUCGGAUUAGCUAGUUGGCGGGGUAAAGGCGCACCAAGGCGACGAUCCGUAGCUGGUCUGAGAGGAUGAUCAGCCACACUGGAACUGAGACACGGUCCAGACUCCUACGGGAGGCAGCAGUGGGGAAUAUUAGACAAUGGGCGCAAGCCUGAUCCAGCCAUACCGCGUGAGUGAAGAAGGCCUUCGGGUUGUAAAGCCAUUUUGUUGGGAGAGAAAAGCAGCAGGUUAAUACGCCGCUGUUCUGACGGUACCCAAAGAAUAAGCACCGGCUAACUUCGUG
This 492-nucleotide ribosomal RNA is filed under the name uncultured bacterium. Its description in RNAcentral is "partial 16S ribosomal RNA". It matches the Rfam family "Bacterial small subunit ribosomal RNA", at positions 29 to 507 of the family's 1533-position model. The record is from RNAcentral.